AAUAUUUGACAAUGGGGGCAACCCUGAUCCAGCCAUGCCGCGUGUGUGAAGAAUGUCUUCGGAUUGUAAAGCACUUUAAGUUGGGAGGAAGGGCUUUAGGUUAAUACCCUGAAGUUUUGACGUUACCAACCGAAUAAGCACCGGCUAACUCUGUGCCAGCAGCCGCGGUAAUACAGAGGGUGCAAGAGUUAAUCGGAAUUACGGGGCGUAAAGCGCGCGAGGGUGGUUCAGUAGGAUGGGGUUGAACGCCCCGGGCCUAACCUUGGAACUGCUUUCAUAACUGCUGAGCUAAGGUAAGGUAGAGGGUAGUGGAAUUUCCUGUGAAGCGGUGAAAGGCGUAGAAAUAGGAAGGAACACCAGGGGCGAAGGCGACUACCUGGACUGAUACUGACACUAAGGUGCGAAAGCGUGGGGAGCAAAC
RNAcentral lists this ribosomal RNA (421 nucleotides) under uncultured bacterium. RNAcentral describes it as "partial 16S ribosomal RNA". It matches the Rfam family "Bacterial small subunit ribosomal RNA", at positions 360 to 773 of the family's 1533-position model. The record is from RNAcentral.